RNAcentral lists this ribosomal RNA (497 nucleotides) under uncultured bacterium. Its description in RNAcentral is "partial 16S ribosomal RNA". It matches the Rfam family "Bacterial small subunit ribosomal RNA", at positions 28 to 507 of the family's 1533-position model. The record is from RNAcentral.
GAUGAACGCUGGCGGCGUGCCUAAUACGUGCAAGUCGAGCGAACAGACGAGGAGCUUGCUCCUCUGACGUUAGCGGCGGACGGGUGAGUAACACGUGGAUAACCUACCUAUAAGACUGGGAUAACUUCGGGAAACCGGAGCUAAUACCGGAUAAUAUAUUGAACCGCAUGGUUCAAUAGUGAAAGACGGUUUUGCUGUCACUUAUAGAUGGAUCCGCGCCGCAUUAGCUAGUUGGUAAGGUAACGGCUUACCAAGGCAACGAUGCGUAGCCGACCUGAGAGGGUGAUCGGCCACACUGGAACUGAGACACGGUCCAGACUCCUACGGGAGGCAGCAGUAGGGAAUCUUCCGCAAUGGGCGAAAGCCUGACGGAGCAACGCCGCGUGAGUGAUGAAGGUCUUCGGAUCGUAAAACUCUAUUAUUAGGGAAGAACAAAUGUGUAAGUAACUAUGCACGUCUUGACGGUACCUAAUCAGAAAGCCACGGCUAACUACGUG